AACUUUUACACAUCAGACCAACCCACAUUCAAAUAUAUUGGAAACUUCGCUGACGAUUAAGUUAUCCUGCCCCUCCACCAUAAACCUCUUGAGGCAUCAAACAGGACCCAGACUCACCUCAACAUGUUGUCAGCGUGGUACAAAGAGCCCCUCUCUUUUAAAGUUAAUGAAUUGAAAUUUAUUCACUGCACAUUUACGCUCAGAUAUAUUUUCUGACCCUCUAUCACACUCAACAACCAAUCUCUCCCAACUACUCAAAAUGUUCGCUACCUCGGUCUAUAUCUAGAUCGCCGUCUUCCUUGGGCUAUCUACAUACGUAACAAACGACUAAUCCUUAAAAACCG
This is a non-coding RNA of Cinara cedri, 344 nucleotides long. The record is from the annotation of a GenBank genome assembly. Lineage: Eukaryota; Metazoa; Arthropoda; Insecta; Hemiptera; Aphididae.